This 67-nucleotide transfer RNA is filed under the name Meretrix lyrata. RNAcentral's name for it is "tRNA-Arg". The record is from RNAcentral. Lineage: Eukaryota; Metazoa; Mollusca; Bivalvia; Venerida; Veneridae.
AAAUGGGUGGCGUAAUUAAUUAGCGUGUACGAUUUCGGCUCGUAAGGAGUAAAGUUUACCUCAUUUU